This 930-nucleotide long non-coding RNA is filed under the name Marmota monax (woodchuck). The record is from RNAcentral. Lineage: Eukaryota; Metazoa; Chordata; Mammalia; Rodentia; Sciuridae.
AAAAAAAAGAAAAAUCAAAUAUUGAUUAAAAUCAAAGACAAAUAUUGAAAACAGCCUAAGAGUCUUUAUUUUUCUGAACAGGAAAACAAAAAACAAGGACUUUUUUUUUUUAAAGGGUAGCCUUGAGUUGGAGGGGAAGAGGUUGAAGAACUAGAAAAUAGCCUAGUGAUGUUUAUUUGGAUUUUGAACUUUAUUUGGAUUUUACUUGUGUAAGCAAAAUUCUCAAAGAGUGAACGAAGAAGAGCAAAUCAUAGAUCGUCUCUAUCAACACAAGAGGCGGAAGCCAGGUAUUACAUGGUUUUGAUUUUUAAGCUCAUAAUCCCAACUGGUAUCUUUAAAUGGGUGUCCUCUGACCUGGCCCAGGGACUGUAUCUUAAAUAUAAAUUAGGGUCAGGCUGAUUGUUUCCACACCCACUGAAACAACUCUGGGUCUCUUAGGCAUCCACCAAUACUUUGUAUCACAAACCAACCACUGGGUGGGGACAAGUGCAGAAAAAAUAAAAUGAAAGAAAAAGAGACAAAGGCUAAAGCAGUCUGGGAGGCGAGAACAGAGAUGAGACAAUGACACUGGAGUUAAGUGAGGGGCAUCAGGAAAGAAGGAACCAUCAGUGCAGGGGGCAGCUGGAGACACAGAUGAAGACAGGGAGGGAACCUGCAAGAAAUAAGCAGGUGGCAAGAAAAACCAGACUUGAACUACAUCCCCAGCCCCCCCCCACACACUUUUUUUUAAAAAUUUUCAGACAGGGUCUUGCCAAGUUGUUUAGGGCCUCCCUAAGUUGCUGAAGCUGGCUUUGAACUUGGCAUCCUCCUCCUUCAGCUCUGAGAUUACAGGUAUGCACUACACACAGCUGGCUUUUGUUUUUGUUUGCUUUGUUCUAUUUUUUCACAUACCUAAUAAAAAUCUAAUAUCAGCACUCAGGGUCAUGUUUA